GGCGGUUUUCUGGUGACACACCCCAGAAUCGGGCUCCCUCCUCUCUGGUUCCAAGUGCAUCACUUGAGAACUGCC
Molecule: non-coding RNA, 75 nt
Organism: Myotis brandtii (Brandt's bat)
Lineage: Eukaryota; Metazoa; Chordata; Mammalia; Chiroptera; Vespertilionidae
Source: Rfam